AUACGUAGGGGGCGAACGUUGUCCGGAAUGAUUGGGCGUAAAGGGCGCGUAGGCGGCGCGGUAAGUCUGGAGUGAAAGUCCUGCUUUCAAGGUGGGAAUUGCUUUGGAUACUGCCGCGCUUGAGUGCAGGAGAGGUUAUCGGAAUUCCCGGUGUAGCGGUGAAAUGCGUAGAGAUCGGGAGGAACACCAGUGGCGAAGGCGGGUAACUGGACUGCAACUGACGCUGAGGCGCGAAAGUGUGGGGAGCAAACAGGAUUAGAUACCCUGGUAGUCCACACUGUAAACGAUGAAUGCUAGGUGUAAGAGGUAUCGACCCCUUUUGUGCCGGAGUCAACACAAUAAGCAUUCCGCCUGGGGAGUACGGCCGCAAGGUUGAAACUCAAAUGAAUUGACGGGG
This 397-nucleotide ribosomal RNA is filed under the name uncultured bacterium. RNAcentral's name for it is "partial 16S ribosomal RNA". It matches the Rfam family "Bacterial small subunit ribosomal RNA", at positions 523 to 918 of the family's 1533-position model. The record is from RNAcentral.